Long non-coding RNA from Oreochromis niloticus (Nile tilapia), 186 nucleotides. RefSeq lists it as uncharacterized. Lineage: Eukaryota; Metazoa; Chordata; Actinopteri; Cichliformes; Cichlidae. The record is from RefSeq and is a predicted model, not a curated record. The transcript has 3 exons.
UCAGGAUGGCACCACUCUAUAACUUGCCAAGGCACCGGCUGUAAACUUGUUCCUGCAGGGCUAUGAAAAGUCCUGGAUGGAGACAGAGGAGCACUACUUUGAAGAUAAACUCAUAGAAGACCUCGCUAAACCAGGUGAACAGGAGCCAUCUGAGGAAGAGGAGGGGCAGAAACACAAACACAUAGA